UGGGGAAUAUUGCACAAUGGGGGAAACCCGUGAUGCAGCGACGCCGCGUGAGCGAGGAAGUAUUUCGGUAUGUAAAGCUCUGUCAGCAGGGAAGAAGAAUGACGGUACCUGAAGAAGAAGCACCGGCUAAAUACGUGCC
Molecule: ribosomal RNA, 139 nt
Filed under: uncultured bacterium
Lineage: Bacteria
Description: partial 16S ribosomal RNA
Rfam family: Bacterial small subunit ribosomal RNA
Source: RNAcentral